RNAcentral lists this ribosomal RNA (500 nucleotides) under uncultured bacterium. RNAcentral describes it as "partial 16S ribosomal RNA". It matches the Rfam family "Bacterial small subunit ribosomal RNA", at positions 29 to 523 of the family's 1533-position model. The record is from RNAcentral.
AUUGAACGCUGGCGGAAUGCUUUACACAUGCAAGUCGAACGGCAGCACGGGGGUAACCCUGGUGGCGAGUGGCGAACGGGUGAGUAAUACAUCGGAACGUGCCCAAUCGUGGGGGAUAACGUAGCGAAAGCUACGCUAAUACCGCAUACGAUCUACGGAUGAAAGCGGGGGAUCGCAAGACCUCGCGCGAAUGGAGCGGCCGAUGGCAGAUUAGGUAGUUGGUGGGGUAAAGGCUCACCAAGCCAACGAUCUGUAGCUGGUCUGAGAGGACGACCAGCCACACUGGGACUGAGACACGGCCCAGACUCCUACGGGAGGCAGCAGUGGGGAAUUUUGGACAAUGGGCGCAAGCCUGAUCCAGCCAUUCCGCGUGCAGGAUGAAGGCCUUCGGGUUGUAAACUGCUUUUGUACGGAACGAAACGGUCUGCCCUAAUACGGCGGGCUAAUGACGGUACCGUAAGAAUAAGCACCGGCUAACUACGUGCCAGCCGCCGCGGUAA